Molecule: ribosomal RNA, 416 nt
Filed under: uncultured bacterium
Lineage: Bacteria
Description: partial 16S ribosomal RNA
Rfam family: Bacterial small subunit ribosomal RNA
Source: RNAcentral
AAUAUGUUACAAUGGGUGAGAGCCUGAUCCAGCCAUCCCGCGUGCAGGAAGAAUGCCUUAUGUGUUGUAAACUGCUUUUAUACAGGCAUAAACCACUUUACGUGUAAGGUGUUGAAGGUACUGUAUGAAUAAGCAUCGUCUAACUCCGCACCAGCAGCCGCGGUAAUACGGAGGAUGCAAGCGUUAUCCGGAUAUAUUUGGUUUAAAGGUUCAGUAGGCGGGCAUAUAAGUCAGAGGUGAAAUCCGACAGCUUAACUGUCGAACUGCCUUUGAAACUGUAUGUCUUGGGUGAGAUUGAAGCAGCUGGAAUGUGUAGUGUAGCGGUGAAAUGCAUAGAUAUUACACAGAACACCGAUAGUGUAGGCAGGUUGCUAAGUCUUUACUGACGCUGAUGGACGAAAGCGUGGGGAGCAAAC